This is a long non-coding RNA of Puntigrus tetrazona (Sumatra barb), 583 nucleotides long. RefSeq lists it as uncharacterized. The transcript has 3 exons. Lineage: Eukaryota; Metazoa; Chordata; Actinopteri; Cypriniformes; Cyprinidae. The record is from RefSeq and is a predicted model, not a curated record.
UCAACAAAAACGGACUUUGGCGUGUGCAUGCCACGCGAUGUGAAGGGUUGUGUUUGUGAGGUGAGGCGAAAAAUCAUAUGCAAGCCGAACACAAACACGCGCCAAAAUCCAUUUUUGUUUGCCACGUUUUCGUUUUUCUUCGGCACGCCACGCAUUUCCACGAGACUGGGCUGCAGCCAUUGAGGGCACAGUGUCACUUCAGCGACUAAAGGACCGCUCGCUAAACACUUGUGCGGGUUGAUUUCAUGAUUGACGGGCCUCUUUAGAAAGGAGUUCACUCACCUGGAUUUAACAUGCACCGGAAACGCUCGAUUUCACAUUCUAAGCCCUGCUCAGAAAGCCGCUCCAUCGACAGCGUCCUCUGCUGGAGAAAACACACUGGCUGAUGUUCACGAAGAGAUCCUCGCCUUUUUUGAGUUUAGACACAAAUUUAUAUGAGAAAUACCUAUAUAUAUAUAAUUUUUUUUGAUGGAAAUAUGCCGUGUAAUAAAAUCCCGAUGGAUAGCAAAGGAACUAGCCUGACUGACCCAUUUAUGAAGAGCUGAUUCCGCUUCUGACCGCUAGAUGGCAGCGCAGCAACAUU